UACAGAGGUCUCAAGCGUUGUUCGGAUUCAUUGGGCGUAAAGGGCGCGUAGGCUGCGGGGCAAGUCGGGUGUGAAAUCUCAGAGCUCAACUCUGAAACUGCACUCGAUACUGCUUUGCUUGAGGACUGGAGAGGAGACUGGAAUUUACGGUGUAGCGGUGAAAUGCGUAGAUAUCGUAAGGAAGACCAGUGGCGAAGGCGGGUCUCUGGACAGUUCCUGACGCUGAGGCACGAAGGCCAGGGGAGCAAACAGG
RNAcentral lists this ribosomal RNA (253 nucleotides) under uncultured bacterium. RNAcentral's name for it is "partial 16S ribosomal RNA". It matches the Rfam family "Bacterial small subunit ribosomal RNA", at positions 524 to 776 of the family's 1533-position model. The record is from RNAcentral.